CAGUAGCCGCGGUAAUACGGAGGGAGCUAGCGUUGUUCGGAAUUACUGGGCGUAAAGCGCGCGUAGGCGGUUACUCAAGUCAGAGGUGAAGGCCCGGGGCUCAACCCCGGAACUGCCUUUGAAACUAGGUGACUAGAAUCUUGGAGAGGUCAGUGGAAUUCCGAGUGUAGAGGUGAAAUUCGUAGAUAUUCGGAAGAACACCAGUGGCGAAGGCGACUGACUGGACAAGUAUUGACGCUGAGGUGCGAAAGCGUGAGAGCAAACAGGAUUAGAUACCCCGGUAGUCCCUGUCUCUUAUACA
This 301-nucleotide ribosomal RNA is filed under the name uncultured bacterium. RNAcentral describes it as "partial 16S ribosomal RNA". It matches the Rfam family "Bacterial small subunit ribosomal RNA", at positions 509 to 808 of the family's 1533-position model. The record is from RNAcentral.